RNAcentral lists this ribosomal RNA (253 nucleotides) under uncultured bacterium. Its description in RNAcentral is "partial 16S ribosomal RNA". It matches the Rfam family "Bacterial small subunit ribosomal RNA", at positions 524 to 776 of the family's 1533-position model. The record is from RNAcentral.
CACGUAGGCACCAAGCGUUGUCCGGAUUUAUUGGGCGUAAAGAGCUCGUAGGCGGUUCGGUAAGUCGGGUGUGAAAGCCCGGGGCUUAACCCCGGGUCUGCAUUCGAUACGGGCUAGCUAGAGUGUGGUAGGGGAGAUCGGAAUUCCUGGUGUAGCGGUGAAAUGCGUAGAUAUCAGGAGGAACACCUGCGGUGUAGACGGCUUACUGGACCAUAACUGACGCUGAGGCACGAAAGCGUGGGUAGCAAACAGG